UUGAACGCUGGCGGCAGGCCUAACACAUGCAAGUCGAGCGGAUGAAGGGAGCUUGCUCCUGGAUUCAGCGGCGGACGGGUGAGUAAUGCCUAGGAAUCUGCCUGGUAGUGGGGGAUAACGUCCGGAAACGGGCGCUAAUACCGCAUACGUCCUGAGGGAGAAAGUGGGGGAUCUUCGGACCUCACGCUAUCAGAUGAGCCUAGGUCGGAUUAGCUAGUUGGUGGGGUAAAGGCCUACCAAGGCGACGAUCCGUAACUGGUCUGAGAGGAUGAUCAGUCACACUGGAACUGAGACACGGUCCAGACUCCUACGGGAGGCAGCAGUGGGGAAUAUUGGACAAUGGGCGAAAGCCUAAUCCAGCCAUGCCGCGUGUGUGAAGAAGGUCUUCGGAUUGUAAAGCACUUUAAGUUGGGAGGAAGGGCAGUAAGUUAAUACCUUGCUGUUUUGACGUUACCAACAGAAUAAGCACCGGCUAACUUCGUG
RNAcentral lists this ribosomal RNA (483 nucleotides) under uncultured bacterium. Its description in RNAcentral is "partial 16S ribosomal RNA". It matches the Rfam family "Bacterial small subunit ribosomal RNA", at positions 30 to 507 of the family's 1533-position model. The record is from RNAcentral.